CCUACGGGUGGCAGCAGUGGGGAAUAUUGGACAAUGGGGGCAACCCUGAUCCAGCCAUGCCGCGUGUGUGAAGAAGGCCCUCGGGUUGUAAAGCACUUUCAGUGAGGAAGAACGCCUGGUGGUUAAUACCCAUCAGGAAAGACAUCACUCACAGAAGAAGCACCGGCUAACUCCGUGCCAGCAGCCGCGGUAAUACGGAGGGUGCGAGCGUUAAUCGGAAUUACUGGGCGUAAAGCGCGCGUAGGUGGCUUGAUAAGCCGGUUGUGAAAGCCCCGGGCUCAACCUGGGAACGGCAUCUGGAACUGUCAAGCUAGAGUGCAGGAGAGGAAGGUAGAAUUCCCGGUGUAGCGGUGAAAUGCGUAGAGAUCGGGAGGAAUACCAGUGGCGAAGGCGGCCUUCUGGACUGACACUGACACUGAGGUGCGAAAGCGUGGGUAGCAAACAGGAUUAGAUACCCGUGUAGUC
This 465-nucleotide ribosomal RNA is filed under the name Vreelandella stevensii. Its description in RNAcentral is "partial 16S ribosomal RNA". It matches the Rfam family "Bacterial small subunit ribosomal RNA", at positions 338 to 795 of the family's 1533-position model. Lineage: Bacteria; Pseudomonadati; Pseudomonadota; Gammaproteobacteria; Oceanospirillales; Halomonadaceae. The record is from RNAcentral.